GACGAACGCUGGCGGCGUGCUUAACACAUGCAAGUCGAGCGGUAAGGCCCUUUCGGGGGUACACGAGCGGCGAACGGGUGAGUAACACGUGGGUGACCUGCCCUCAGCUCUGGGAUAAGCCUGGGAAACUGGGUCUAAUACCGGAUAUGACUCCAUGACGCAUGUUGUGGGGUGGAAAGCCUUGUGCGGCUGAGGAUGGGCCCGCGGCCUAUCAGCUUGUUGGUGGGGGAUGGCCUACCAAGGCGACGACGGUAGCCGGCCUGAGAGGCGACCGGCCACACUGGGACUGAGACACGGCCCAGACUCCUACGGGAGGCAGCAGUGGGGAAUCUUGCGCAAUGGGCGAAAGCCUGACGCAGCGACGCCGCGUGA
RNAcentral lists this ribosomal RNA (372 nucleotides) under uncultured bacterium. Its description in RNAcentral is "bacterial SSU rRNA". It matches the Rfam family "Bacterial small subunit ribosomal RNA", at positions 28 to 404 of the family's 1533-position model. The record is from RNAcentral.